GUGGGUGAGGGAGGGAGGGAGGGAGGGGCUUUUGGGUGGUUGGCUGGUUAAAAAUGGGUUUAUUUUCAUUUUUUCUCAUUUUCCUCAUUUCCCCCCCAGGGAUGUUGUUUAACAACAUAAAAGGGCAGGGGUGCAACUGCAGGGUGUUUACCCUUUCUUUCCCCUUUCUCAAUGCGGGGGCGAAGUGUCUGAGUGCCUGAGUGUCUGGAUGACUGGAUGACUGGAUGACUGGAUGACUGGAUGACUGGAUGACUGGAUAACUGGAUUGAUGAAUCAGGCAAACUCCGCAGACAGCUAGAUAGAUAGAUAGAUCGGAUAGAUGAGAUAGGAAAGCCUAAUAAGAAGUAGUUAAUUAG
RNAcentral lists this small RNA (356 nucleotides) under Histoplasma capsulatum G186AR. RNAcentral's name for it is "hypothetical RNA". The record is from RNAcentral. Lineage: Eukaryota; Fungi; Ascomycota; Eurotiomycetes; Onygenales; Ajellomycetaceae.